CAUCAUUCAAGUCAAUAUUCACCAUUGGAUCUUACUGAGAUUAAAUCUCAGCCCUUUAAACUCCUUAAAAAAACUGCUAUUGUAGCAGUUUAGGGUGGUUCUUUUCAGUUUCCUUCAUUGGUGGUUACCUCCCCCAUUAUCUCCACAAUUCCUCACGUAGCCUGUUACUCCCCUCCUCAGAUCUAUUAAGUAUGCGAUCAAUUCCAUCCUCACUCUUAUUUCUUAUUUCUUGCGAUCAAUUCCAUCUUCACAUACCACUAUCUCGCUUUUGGAUUGAGAAAGACACAAGCUCCCCUGACACGCACCGGAAGAGAAUUUUUUAGCAGUUUAUUUUGGUGAUUGUGGGAUUCACACUUCUUGCAGCGUCCUCAUUUCUCCCAAACUUGAAUGUUGGCAUGCCUUCCUUCUCUCUAACUCAACCUUUUAACAGGUAAUGCCCGGUACUAAUGUGAAAUUAGGAUUUUAGGGUUCAUAUUUGGUUUAUUAUCGCAAUUGCAAUUUGUAUUCGAGACAGAGAUGGAGCAAUGUCCAAGCCAAAGUAAAGUUGUUAAUGAACAACUGUCAGUUGCAAUUGAAGGUUCUCCCCCCUAGAAGUUUGAGUUUCAGUUGAGUUCAGUUGUUCAUCUGUUCGACUCAGGAAGAAGAACUUAGGGCUCCGAUUCAUGACCUUCAAAUUCAACAGAUUCACUGAUAAUUUAGAUCAACUGAUUUAUAGAGGUUCGCUAAUUCGAUUGCUGAAAGAUAACUACGAAAGUGUGUGAAUUUUUUCAAAAGUGUUGAAAUUACUGCAAACUUAUGAACUUCAUCAAAUAUGGCACAUCUUCAAACUCACCCGGUUUGGCAAUCUGUACAAAAAUUGAAAUUCAAAUUAUUUGAUACUCAGUUGAGCAUCAGGUUUGUGUAGCUUAUGUUCAAAUUGAUUCUUUGUGUUACAAAAGUCAGUCAUCGACUACUGCAUUCUGAUUGUUACAUUGAAUCAUUGCUCAUGUAUUGAUUUUCUUUGUUCAAACAUUAAAUUUUAUGAACUGGUAUUUCAUUUCAUUCAAAUAUUGUGAUAAUGCUUGAAUUCAAGAAGUGAUGUUCCAAUUGAUUAAAACUGGCGCUACAAAUCAGAUAAGCUUUCGAAUUGCAACGUAUUGAGCGUCACAUGUUUUUUUUACACAUCACAAGCCACAUGAUGACUUGCUAAGAAAAGUUGAAUCACAUAAUAUUAGAAUUAUGAAUUGCAACCACCACAAAUGGUGUCAUUCAGCAAUGAACUAACCUUCAAGCUUCAUGUUUUUGAACCAUCAAGGAAUAUCUCAUAUCUGUAGUGAAGUAAACCUCUGAUGCAUAUUGAGGAUUCAAUGAU
RNAcentral lists this long non-coding RNA (1351 nucleotides) under Helianthus annuus (common sunflower). The record is from RNAcentral. Lineage: Eukaryota; Viridiplantae; Streptophyta; Magnoliopsida; Asterales; Asteraceae.